AUUGGAUCCAUGAUGUUUUGAAAAAACUGCGUUAUCUAUCUGUAAUUUCCUCAAAAGGAUUGAAGAUAGUCAUACAAUUCUGAGAUUCAGU
This is a small nucleolar RNA of Cornus florida, 91 nucleotides long. RefSeq annotates it as small nucleolar RNA snoR27. The record is from RefSeq and is a predicted model, not a curated record. Lineage: Eukaryota; Viridiplantae; Streptophyta; Magnoliopsida; Cornales; Cornaceae. The transcript has a single exon.